This 254-nucleotide ribosomal RNA is filed under the name uncultured bacterium. Its description in RNAcentral is "partial 16S ribosomal RNA". It matches the Rfam family "Bacterial small subunit ribosomal RNA", at positions 524 to 776 of the family's 1533-position model. The record is from RNAcentral.
UACGUAGGGUGCGAGCGUUGUCCGGAAUUAUUGGGCGUAAAGAGCUCGUAGGCGGUCUGUCGCGUCGGUCGUGAAAACUUGGGGCUUAACCCUGAGCUUGCGGUCGAUACGGGCAUGACUGGAGUUCGGCAGGGGAGACUGGAAUUCCUGGUGUAGCGGUGAAAUGCGCAGAUAUCGUAAGGAAGACCAGUGGCGAAGGCGGGUCUCUGGACAGUUCCUGACGCUGAGGCACGAAGGCCAGGGGAGCAAACGGG